UAAAUAUGUAAAACUUUUACAGCCAGAUCUGGUAAACAGUAAAUGCUAAAUAAGUAUUGUCUAUCUUUAUUCAUGUGGGAAAAAUAGAGCAAAAAUAGAUACUUAAAAGCCAUUUUAAUGAUUGACAUUUUAAAAUUUUCAGACCUUUAGAAUUCAACUUUGGUCAAGUCUCCAGGACUCUUUGGUAAACUCCCGGUAGUGUGCCAUGACUUCGGGGAUGCAAAUAAAAAACAAGGCUGAGUUUAUGGUCACAUCUACCAAAUGGGUGGUUUCAUUUCAAGGCAGACAAGAGGAGGAAAGAAAAAGCUGGGUUUUGUUGGUUUAUAUCAUGUGUCUAUUGCAACAAAAGGAACUAGUAUUUGUUGAAAAAUGUAUUUUAGUAAUAUUAAUUCUCAUUCCUCUGAAAAAAUUAUUAAUUCUUUUAAUUAAUUUUUAAUCAUACAAUUGCUAAUUUGAACGGCCAUAUUAAUGAAGAACAAAUUUUAAGUGUAUUUUAAUCUUUACAGUGAUUUUAGUAGCCAUUAAAAUAAAAUCUAGCCUCAUUAGAUAAAUGAAACUUAUGUUUAAUUGCCGUAAUUAGGAAAAUUAUUCAUACUUCUGCUAUAUUCUUUUGUUACCUGAUUGCAUGUGUCUUUGGUGUUAAAUGGGUUAAAUAAACACAAUACCAA
This 668-nucleotide long non-coding RNA is filed under the name Chinchilla lanigera (long-tailed chinchilla). RNAcentral describes it as "lncRNA (ENSCLAG00000025002.1)". The record is from RNAcentral. Lineage: Eukaryota; Metazoa; Chordata; Mammalia; Rodentia; Chinchillidae.